AAAAGAAAACGGAUAAUUGCCCCGAGCGAGGCGCAUAGCGCCGAGUCGAGGGGAGGAAAGUCCGGACACCAUUCCCGCUUCGGCGGGAGAAGCGUACGGGUUAACAACCCGCCGUGGUAACACGAGAGGUGCGAACAGAAACGCCCUAGAACUCGAAAGGGUUCGGGCGCCCCGAGCUUGUCGAGGGGCGAGUUCCAUGGCAACAUGGAAAUGAAACGGCUAAAUCCUUACUGGGUGCAAGUCCGUAUGGACGCUAGAGCUGUUGAGCAAUUGACGGCCCAGAUAGAUAAUUAUCGUCCCCGCUUAGCGGGGGUACAGAAUCCGGCUUAUAGUUUUCUUACCAAG
Molecule: RNase P RNA, 345 nt
Filed under: Candidatus Azambacteria bacterium
Lineage: Bacteria; Candidatus Azamiibacteriota
Description: RNase P RNA component class A
Rfam family: Bacterial RNase P class A
About the family: Ribonuclease P (RNase P) is a ubiquitous endoribonuclease, found in archaea, bacteria and eukarya as well as chloroplasts and mitochondria. Its best characterised activity is the generation of mature 5'-ends of tRNAs by cleaving the 5'-leader elements of precursor-tRNAs. Cellular RNase Ps are ribonucleoproteins.
Source: RNAcentral